AUUGAACGCUGGCGGCAGGCCUAACACAUGCAAGUCGAGCGGAGCGGCGGACGGGUGAGUGAUGCCUAGGAAUCUGCCUGGUAGUGGGGGAUAACGUCCGGAAACGGGAGCUAAUACCGCAUCCUAUCAGAUGAGCAUAGGUGGGAUUAGCUAGGUGGUGGGGUAAAGGCCUACCAAGGCGACGAUCCGUAGCUGGUCUGAGUGGAUGAUCAGUCACACUGGAACUGAGACACGGUCCAGACUCCUACGGGAGGCAGCAGUGGGGAAUAUUGGACAAUGGGCGAAAGCCUGAUCCAGCCAUGCCGCGUGUGUGAAGAAGGUCUUCGGGUUGUAAAGUACUUUCAGCGGGGAGGCGUUACCCGCAGAAGAAGCACCGGCUAACUCCGUGCCAGCAGCCGCGGUAAUUC
This 407-nucleotide ribosomal RNA is filed under the name uncultured bacterium. Its description in RNAcentral is "partial 16S ribosomal RNA". It matches the Rfam family "Bacterial small subunit ribosomal RNA", at positions 30 to 526 of the family's 1533-position model. The record is from RNAcentral.